UACGUAGGGGGCAAGCGUUAUCCGGAAUUACUGGGUGUAAAGGGAGCGUAGACGGUAAUGUAAGCCUGGAGUGAAAGGCGGGGGCCCAACCCCCGGACUGCUCUGGAAACUAUGUUACUAGAGUGCAGGAGAGGUAAGCGGAAUUCCUAGUGUAGCGGUGAAAUGCGUAGAUAUUAGGAGGAACACCAGUGGCGAAGGCGGCUUACUGGACUGUAACUGACGUUGAGGCUCGGAAGCGUGGGGAGCAAACAGG
This 253-nucleotide ribosomal RNA is filed under the name uncultured bacterium. Its description in RNAcentral is "partial 16S ribosomal RNA". It matches the Rfam family "Bacterial small subunit ribosomal RNA", at positions 524 to 776 of the family's 1533-position model. The record is from RNAcentral.